RNAcentral lists this ribosomal RNA (553 nucleotides) under uncultured bacterium. Its description in RNAcentral is "bacterial SSU rRNA". It matches the Rfam family "Bacterial small subunit ribosomal RNA", at positions 355 to 896 of the family's 1533-position model. The record is from RNAcentral.
UAGGGAAUCUUCGGCAAUGGACGGAAGUCUGACCGAGCAAACGCCGCGUGAGUGAAAGAAGGUUUUCGGAUCGUAAAGCUCUGUUGUAAGAGAAGAACGAGUGUGAGAGUGGAAAGUUCACACUGUGACGGUAUCUUACCAGAAAGGGACGGCUAACUACGUGCCAGCAGCCGCGGUAAUACGUAGGUCCCGAGCGUUGUCCGGAUUUAUUGGGCGUAAAGCGAGCGCAGGCGGUUAGAUAAGUCUGAAGUUAAAGGCUGUGGCUUAACCAUAGUACGCUUUGGAAACUGUUUAACUUGAGUGCAAGAGGGGAGAGUGGAAUUCCAUGUGUAGCGGUGAAAUGCGUAGAUAUAUGGAGGAACACCGGUGGCGAAAGCGGCUCUCUGGCUUGUAACUGACGCUGAGGCUCGAAAGCGUGGGGAGCAAACAGGAUUAGAUACCCUGGUAGUCCACGCCGUAAACGAUGAGUGCUAGGUGUUAGACCCUUUCCGGGGUUUAGUGCCGUAGCUAACGCAUUUAAGCACUCCGCCUGGGGAGUACGACCGCAAGGUUG